Molecule: ribosomal RNA, 514 nt
Filed under: uncultured bacterium
Lineage: Bacteria
Description: bacterial SSU rRNA
Rfam family: Bacterial small subunit ribosomal RNA
Source: RNAcentral
GAUCCUGGCUCAGUGCGAACGUUAGCGGCGGGCCUAACACAUGCAAGUCGAACGCGAAAGGUCUUCGGACUGAGUAGAGUGGCGCACGGGUGAGUAACACGUAGGUAAUCUACCCUUUGGCGGGGGAUAACGUUCCGAAAGGAGCGCUAAUACCGCAUAAGACCACGGAGUCUCCGGACGCUGUGGGAAAAGGUGGCCUCUUCUUGAAAGCUACCACCGAAGGAUGAGCCUGCGUCCCAUCAGCUAGUUGGUAAGGUAAUGGCUUACCAAGGCGAAGACGGGUAGCUGGUUUGAGAGAAUGAUCAGCCACACUGGCACUGGAACACGGGCCAGACUCCUACGGGAGGCAGCAGUGAGGAAUAUUGGGCAAUGGGCGAAAGCCUGACCCAGCCACGCCGCGUGAGUGAUGAAGGCCCUCGGGUCGUAAAGCUCUGUGGAGAGGGACGAAAACCCUGGUUUCAAAUAGGCUCCAGGCUUGACGGUACCUCUUUAGCAAGCACCGGCUAACUCUGUG